Molecule: long non-coding RNA, 1362 nt
Filed under: Nannospalax galili (Upper Galilee mountains blind mole rat)
Lineage: Eukaryota; Metazoa; Chordata; Mammalia; Rodentia; Spalacidae
Description: lncRNA (ENSNGAG00000024470.1)
Source: RNAcentral
AAGGUCUGGACCUCUAGCGGACAAAAAGCUAUUAGACAGUAAGAAAAUCCUAGCCACUGCGACUCCACCCACUGGCAGCAUCUCGGAGAUGCUUCUCUCUACCCACAACAAAAAUGGCCGGCGCGGGAGCCGGUCCAAAGCGCUGACAUGAGGAAAUUUGCUCCGCCUUGCUAUGAGCAAACUGCCCUUCUCAAAGAUGGCCACUGCGGCGCCUCUAGGACCAAAGUGCUCUGGGCCCCGCCUUUGAUCUCGUUGGUGGGGCUAGGGGAUGAGGACUGCGCCGCGCGGGACAAGUCGCCGGCGGCGCCCGAUGGAGCAGGCCUGUCUCGUCCUGUGACCUCCCAGCAAGGCCGCAGCUUCAUCCCUGUACCUUCGGGCCACUAGCUAUUCUGGAUGCUUAAGAGUGCCUCGCUAACGGUUAUAAGAAGCGCUUGCUUCAAGGGUCGGCCAUCAUCGUGAUCCCACUUCCUGUGCUCCACCUCCCCGGGUUUGUGAUGGUAGGAUCCCUUGUUCCCCACAAUGUCCUUGGUACCUUCAAGACCUGACUUGGAGAUCAGGGUGGAAUGAUAUUUUCUGGAGCCUUCAUUAUGCUUCAUUAAGACUUUAUAGAAGGGACUGGGAAUAGUGAAGGCCUCUGUGCUAGACCCCUUACUACUCCCUGAGUUCCCAAGGACUUCUUCCACACUGGCUUCCCAGGAUUCCUCCUCCCACACAUGGCCUGCUCUCUAAACAGUGAGCACCUCUCCACUCUAAGGGAGUAGAUUGGUACAUCUCACCCCUCUCUAAAUUGCCCAAAGGGUGCCGGUUUGUCCCUGGGCCUGCGGGAGGCUCCCGGGACAUCUGGGGGCAGUGAGGAUGGGUUGGUAAGGUUAGCUGCAGAGAGGAAAUGAGGCCUGCAGAAUGGAGUUUGCAGAUGCAGACGGAAAGAUGUUCUGAGCAGCGAGAAGGGUCGAGCAAAGAUUCUGAAGUAGGCCAGACUUGCUGGCCAUUCGGGAAGGGAUCAUAACACAGGUGUGGACCACACCAUUGGUAUCAUGAGAGGUGGUGUAGUAGUUAACGUAAAAUUGUGGUGCCAGGCUGCCUGUAUGUGAAUCUGCCCUGUGACCUUGGGCAAGUUUUUAUUUUUUAAAAAAUAUUUUUAUUAUUUUCGUUUUAUGUGUAUGAGUGUGUCGCCUGCAUGUAUGUGAGUGCACCCGUGUCGUGCAAUGCCUUGGAGGUCAGAAGAGAGCUUCGGAUUCCCCUGGAACUGGAGUUAAGGACAGUUGGUAGCCGCCAUGUGGGUGCUGGGAAUCGAACCCGGGUCCUCUGCAAGAGCAGUCAGUGCUCUUAACCUCUGAGCCAUCUCUCCAGCCCCCUCUCUUU